Metopolophium dirhodum (rose-grain aphid) is the source of this 1062-nucleotide long non-coding RNA. RefSeq lists it as uncharacterized. The record is from RefSeq and is a predicted model, not a curated record. Lineage: Eukaryota; Metazoa; Arthropoda; Insecta; Hemiptera; Aphididae. The transcript has 6 exons.
AGCACUCGCGAAUUGCAAUUAUUUGAAAUUUGAACAAAAAUACAGACCACAGUCGUACAGAGUUCUAAUAGUUCUAUUCUAUUCAUACAUAUUAUUACAUAAUCGCCAUGAAUAAGUGUAUUGUUUUUAGUAAAACAUCUGAAGUAUCGCCUAGCCACACUAUGUUAGUUUUAAUUUAAAAUUGUGUUUUGAAUGAAGGUGUUGUUCAUGCCGCGCUGUUCCGCUGCGGUGGUAGACGACGGUGUUGUCUCCAGAUCCGAACAAUGUCGGCGAGGGUGGAGCGUGACGUUGCUACUUCUUGCCGGUCGUUAACAGACAAAAUAUUGCACAAAUGCUCGAGAUGUGCAUGACGGCCAGAAUAUUGUAUAUCUCCAACGAUGAGGUUGAAGAAAAUUAACAGACAAAUAAAGGAUUUGGAGACGUUAUAGUUGAUAAAUUAAAUUUACCCAGAAAAUCCCUUAGAAACUUAAUACUAUCUAAUUCACAUACACUUAUGUAAGUAUAUCACUCAAAUAUACCUAACCUAACCUAACCUAACCAGGAACUAAAAAGUCGAUGAAGACAUAGAAUAUUGAAGCGAAUUAUGAAGCUUAAAGGCGAUACAAUUUUGCUGAGCAAGAAUCUAAUUUCUAUGACACAGAGGGCCUCAACAUAUUUAAAUUGCACGACUAGUAAAUCGCAUAAGAGAAAAUUAUAUUUCUCCAACGAUGAGUUUGAAGAAAAUGAACAGACAAAUAAAGGAUUUGGAGACGUUACAGUUGAUUAAUUUAAUUCACCCAGAAAAUACUUAAAAACUUAAUAAUGCCUAAUUCACAUACACUUAUUUCAUUCAGUGGAUUAUACUUAUAUUUUCAAAACUGAAAUAUACAAUGUACCACUUACAAGCAACUAGGAAGUCGAUCAAAUAUCCUGACAAUUUUUCAGACGUUGACUUUUAUGAAGAUAAUUCUGCCAACUUAGAUGAAGCCAUACAAUAUUGGAGCGAAUUAUGAAACUUAAGGGUAAGAAUAUUGUUAAUAGGUUUUUAUUUUAAAGCUAUUUUACCGUGCUUUUAACUCUUAU